AGUGAACGCUGGCGGCGUGCAUAACACAUGCAAGUCGAACGGGAACGGGUUAUAGCUUGCUAUAAUUGUCAGCUAAGUGGCGCACGGGUGAGUAAUGUAUAGGUAAUAUGCCUCUUACUAAGGGAUAACAAAUGGAAACGUUUGCUAAUACCUUAUACUCCUUAUUAACAGAAGUUAAUAAGGGAAAGAUUUAUUGGUAAGAGAUUAGCCUGUAUUGUAUCAGUUAGUUGGUGGGGUAAUGGCUUACCAAGACUAUGACACAUAACUGGUUUGAGAGGAUGAUCAGUCACACUGGAACUGGGACACGGUCCAGACUCCUACGGGAGGCAGCAGUGGGGAAUAUUGCACAAUGGACGAAAGUCUGAUGCAGCAACGCCGCGUGGAGGAUGACACAUUUCGGUGCGUAAACUCCUUUUAUAUGAGAAGAUAAUGACGGUAUUAUAUGAAUAAGCACCGGCUAACUCCGUGCCAGCAGCCGCCGUAA
This 484-nucleotide ribosomal RNA is filed under the name uncultured bacterium. RNAcentral describes it as "partial 16S ribosomal RNA". It matches the Rfam family "Bacterial small subunit ribosomal RNA", at positions 29 to 523 of the family's 1533-position model. The record is from RNAcentral.